GACGAACGCUGGCGGCGUGCUUAACACAUGCAAGUCGAGCGCUGAAGCUCAGCUUUUGUUGGGUGGAUGAGUGGCGAACGGGUGAGUAACACGUGAGUAACCUGCCUCCUUCUUUGGGAUAACGCCCGGAAACGGGUGCUAAUACUGGAUAUUCACUGGUCUUCGCAUGGGGGUUGGUGGAAAGGGUUUUUCUGGUGGGGGAUGGGCUCGCGGCCUAUCAGCUUGUUGGUGGGGUGAUGGCCUACCAAGGCUUUGACGGGUAGCCGGCCUGGGAGGGUGACCGGUAACAUUGGGAGGGAGCUACGGCCCAGGCUGCUACGGGAGGCAGCAGUGGGGAAUAUUGCAGAAUGGGCGCAAGCCUGAUGCAGCGACGGCGCGUGAGGGAUGGAGGCCGUCGGGUUGUGAACCUCUUUCGCUCAUGGUCAAGCCGCAACAAUGGUUGUGGUGAGGGUAGUGGGUAAAGAAGCGCCGGCUAACUACGUG
RNAcentral lists this ribosomal RNA (483 nucleotides) under uncultured bacterium. Its description in RNAcentral is "partial 16S ribosomal RNA". It matches the Rfam family "Bacterial small subunit ribosomal RNA", at positions 28 to 507 of the family's 1533-position model. The record is from RNAcentral.